ACCUGGGUGGCUCAGUCGGUUGAGCAUCCGACUUCAACUCGGGUCAUCAUCUCACAGCUUAUGAGUUCGAGCCCCAUGUCAGGCU
Felis catus (domestic cat) is the source of this 85-nucleotide transfer RNA. It matches the Rfam family "tRNA". Rfam says of the family: Transfer RNA (tRNA) molecules are approximately 80 nucleotides in length. Their secondary structure includes four short double-helical elements and three loops (D, anti-codon, and T loops). The record is from Rfam. Lineage: Eukaryota; Metazoa; Chordata; Mammalia; Carnivora; Felidae.